UGCGCAGUGCCACGCUGGGCCGGGGGCGGGCUCCCGGAGGAGUGAUGAGGGGCGGGGGCGGCCGCGGGGCGGCCGAGGUCCCCUCGGGGUCCCCACAUCCCCCCGAUCCGUGCGUCCCCGGGGAACGCGGAAACCGGAGCUCCAGUCCGAAGGAGGCGCGGGGGCGACGUAGUGCGCGGUUUGCAGGACAAGGUGCAGCAGCCCUUUUGAGAUGGAAGCAAACCCUGGGACUAGCAGCACAGACACCACAUUUCUGCUGCAGUGUUUAUCUUGUUGUGGUUGUCACCCCUGUCCUUAUCCUGGGACUUGGCAUAUUGACGGUGCAUGGAAACCAGAA
Vicugna pacos (alpaca) is the source of this 337-nucleotide long non-coding RNA. RefSeq lists it as uncharacterized. The record is from RefSeq and is a predicted model, not a curated record. Lineage: Eukaryota; Metazoa; Chordata; Mammalia; Artiodactyla; Camelidae.